GUGUUUUGAAAAAUUGUUUACCGCGCGUCCCAGCCAAUUGGAGCGUGCCACCACAUUAAUGAGAAACGGCGUCGUUUGGCUUUCGUUGCUGAAUAUUACCAGAUUGCCAUUAUUUCACAUUAUUUGUAUUAUUUCAUUUCUUUUUCUUUUUUUUAUUUCAUUUUGAUUCAUGUUCUUAGAAAAAUCAUAUCUAAUUCAUUUUUUGUCCAAAUUUGAUGAGACGUUUU
Molecule: long non-coding RNA, 227 nt
Filed under: Lathyrus oleraceus (garden pea)
Lineage: Eukaryota; Viridiplantae; Streptophyta; Magnoliopsida; Fabales; Fabaceae
Description: Pisum sativum (pea) long non-coding RNA (PSAT_LNC005154)
Source: RNAcentral